CGCCCUUAGAGUUUGAUCAUGGCUCAGGACGAACGCUGGCGGCGUGCCUAAUACAUGCAAGUCGAACGCAGCUUGCUUUGGUAAGAUGAUUGGCGAACGGGUGAGUAACACGUGGGUAACCUGCCUAUCAGAGGGGGAUAACACUUGGAAACAGGUGCUAAUACCGCAUAGAUUUCUUUCGCAUGAAAAGAGAGGAAAGACGUACGUGUCACUGAUAGAUGGACCCGCGGUGCAUUAGCUAGUUGGUGAGGUAACGGCUCACCAAGGCCAUGAUGCAUAGCCGACCUGAGAGGGUGAUCGGCCACACUGGGACUGAGACACGGCCCAGACUCCUACGGGAGGCAGCAGUAGGGAAUCUUCGGCAAUGGACGAAAGUCUGACCGAGCAACGCCGCGUGAGUGAAGAAGGUUUUCGGAUCGUAAAACUCUGUUGUUAGAGAAGAAUAGGUAGGAGGACUUUCCUGCCAUGACGGUAUCUAACCAGAAAGCCACGGCUAACUAC
This 501-nucleotide ribosomal RNA is filed under the name uncultured Vagococcus sp. Its description in RNAcentral is "bacterial SSU rRNA". It matches the Rfam family "Bacterial small subunit ribosomal RNA", at positions 1 to 504 of the family's 1533-position model. The record is from RNAcentral. Lineage: Bacteria; Bacillati; Bacillota; Bacilli; Lactobacillales; Enterococcaceae.